UACGAAGGGCCCAAGCGUUAUCCGGAUUUAUUGGGUUUAAAGGGUGCGUAGGCGGUCUAUUAAGUCAGUGGUGAAAGCCCCAAGCUUAACUUGGGAACUGCCAUUGAUACUGAUGGUCUUGAGUACAUUUGAGGUGGGCGGAAUGUGUCAUGUAGCGGUGAAAUGCUUAGAUAUGACACAGAACACCGAUUGCGAAGGCAGCUCACUAAACUGUAACUGACACUGAGGCACGAAAGUGUGGGUAGCAAACAGG
RNAcentral lists this ribosomal RNA (253 nucleotides) under uncultured bacterium. RNAcentral's name for it is "partial 16S ribosomal RNA". It matches the Rfam family "Bacterial small subunit ribosomal RNA", at positions 524 to 776 of the family's 1533-position model. The record is from RNAcentral.